Molecule: long non-coding RNA, 690 nt
Filed under: Fukomys damarensis (Damara mole-rat)
Lineage: Eukaryota; Metazoa; Chordata; Mammalia; Rodentia; Bathyergidae
Description: lncRNA (ENSFDAG00000028577.1)
Source: RNAcentral
GAACACUAGUCCCAAGAGAAGUUCAUCAUUAAAAGAUUUUCAGGAUGAGAUUCAUCUGGGGACUCUGGCAUACUGAAACUGCAUUUGGAGAGACACAGUGGUGAGGUGUAUUUAAUCCAGCACAACCCAAGCUGACCCUAGGACUGUUCCCAGUACUGCUGCAUUUUACCACAUUGAAAGGAGAGCAAAAUGAACAAUGAGACGCAUCCCGAGUCACCAAACGUGCCCAGCUGUCACCAGCAUUCUCCAAGCUCCCAGCUUCAAAUGUCACCAUGUCCAUCCACGCACCUCUUGGCAGUGCUGCUUUCAACAACCGAGGGGGCUGAGCACACAGCCCAUUUCUGAAUGAUCCAGUUUAAAGGCUUUAUCAUAGGUUUAGCAAGUUAUCUUCUCAUGAAUAUUGUGAACAGAGCCUUGGCCACCUCCCCUACCGUCUUCGUGUGAAACAAAGCAGUUUCUGUCUCUUUCCAGCCUUUUUCUCGUGCUCCUGGGUUCAUAGCAAUAUCACAUGCUCAGAGAGGUCCCCUGGCCACCCUCACUAACCUGAGGUCCCUUUUGUUUCUUUCCUUUAUAGCACUUUCAUGGUCCCUGAUCAUUUUAGUUUCUGCUAUGGUUUGUUCUCCCAACUAGAAUGUAAGCUGCAGGAGGGAAACAACAAUGUCUCCUUGCUCCAUCCCUGUACAUUCAGCC